GUUUAAAUAUUAUGUAGGCACAAAAUAUUGGAACAUUUUUUUAUAUAUGCACUAAAUUCACUUUGGUAAUUAUGAUUGUUGGAGUUUUUUAGCUGUGCCAUAUAAAAUGGAUAAAGUGGAAAAAUAUAUUUUAAUGUUUGGAGCAACACAGAACCUUCACCGUUAACAGAUUUAAUACAAAAUUAUGAUAGAUGUGAUGACCUAAAGUCGGACCUUACAUACAUUUAUAUAAACAAUGAUUAUAUGCAAUAGAUUUCGUCUUAGUGUGUUUAGUUGUGUUUUUUGAUAAAAUAAUUAUAAUUAACAUUUAACAAAAACAGAAACAGAAGCCAUUGAUAAUAUUUUCAAAUCUUCGGCUUGCAGUUAGCGUCGCUUUUUAGAAAGAUUCGAAACCAGCUUAAUUAAAAAAAAAUAUUAGAAAUUAAAUAAUAAGAGAAUUAGGAAUUUUAGUUUUAAAACUAAA
Long non-coding RNA from Condylostylus longicornis, 463 nucleotides. RefSeq lists it as uncharacterized. The record is from RefSeq and is a predicted model, not a curated record. NCBI's taxonomy places the organism in Eukaryota, Metazoa, Arthropoda, Insecta, Diptera, Dolichopodidae. The transcript is spliced from 3 exons.